AACGAACGCUGGCGGCAUGCCUAACACAUGCGAGUCGAACGAGACCUUCGGGUCUAGUGGCGCACGGGUGCGUAACGCGUGGGAACCUGCCCUUAGGUUCGGAAUAACUCCCCGAAAGGGGUGCUAAUACCGGAUAAUGUCUUCGGACCAAAGAUUUAUCGCCUUUGGAUGGGCCCGCGUUGGAUUAGCUAGUUGAUAGGGUAAAAGCCUACCAAGGCGACGAUCCAUAGCUGGUCUGAGAGGAUGAUCAGCCACACUGGGACUGAGACACGGCCCAGACUCCUACGGGAGGCAGCAGUGGGGAAUAUUGGACAAUGGGCGAAAGCCUGAUACAGCAAUGCCGCGUGAGUGAUGAAGGCCUUAGGGUUGUAAAGCUCUUUUACCCGGGAUGAUAAUGACAGUACCGGGAGAAUAAGCACCGGCUAACUCCGUG
This 433-nucleotide ribosomal RNA is filed under the name uncultured bacterium. Its description in RNAcentral is "partial 16S ribosomal RNA". It matches the Rfam family "Bacterial small subunit ribosomal RNA", at positions 29 to 507 of the family's 1533-position model. The record is from RNAcentral.